GAUGAACGCUGGCGGCGUGCCUAAUACAUGCAAGUCGAGCGAACAGACGAGGAGCUUGCUCCUCUGACGUUAGCGGCGGACGGGUGAGUAACACGUGGAUAACCUACCUAUAAGACUGGGAUAACUUCGGGAAACCGGAGCUAAUAACGGCUAAUAUAUUGAACCGCAUGGUUCAAUAGUGAAAGACGGUUUUGCUGUCACUUAUAGAUGGAUCCGCGCCGCAUUAGCUAGUUGGUAAGGUAACGGCUUACCAAGGCGACGAUGCGUAGCUGACCUGAGAGGGUGAUCGGCCACACUGGAACUGAGACACGGUCCAGACUCCUACGGGAGGCAGCAGUGGGGAAUAUUGCGCAAUGGGCGAAAGCUUGACGGAGCAACGCCGCGUGAGUGAUGAAGGUCUUCGGAUCGUAAAACUCUGUUAUUAGGGAAGAAAAGAUGUGGAAGUAACUAUGGACGUCUUGACGGUACCUAAUGAGAAAGCCACGGCUAACUUCGUG
Molecule: ribosomal RNA, 497 nt
Filed under: uncultured bacterium
Lineage: Bacteria
Description: partial 16S ribosomal RNA
Rfam family: Bacterial small subunit ribosomal RNA
Source: RNAcentral